UUCUGACUGGCUAGUAGUCCUUACCUAGUACUGUCAUGGCCCUCAUACUCUGCUCCUGACUGGCUAGUAGUCCUUACCUAGGUAGCGUCAGGACCCUCAUACCUCCUGCUCCUGCCAUGGCUAGUAUCCUUACCUUAUGUACUGUCAGGGCCUCAUACUCUGCUUCUGACUGGCUAGUAGUCCUUACCCCCUAGGUACUGUCAGGGCCCUCAUACUCUGCUCCCUGGACGGCUAGUCGUCCUUACCUAGGUCUGUCAGGAACCUUCAUACUCUGCUUCUGACUGUCUAGUAGUCCUUACCGUAUUACUGAGCAUGUGCGCUCCCAACUAGAUGGAAAACAUAAGUGAGAUGGGUCUCACCUGUAACUGAACAGAGAAGCUCAACACACAGUGUGCAAAGAGGAGCUGCAGCAAUGUGCUACCACAUAAUGUGGAUUUUUUGUAAUUAAACCACAGAAACCUCUUAUUGGUAAAACCUCUAAAUACAAUUAUGA
Etheostoma spectabile (orangethroat darter) is the source of this 493-nucleotide long non-coding RNA. RefSeq lists it as uncharacterized. The record is from RefSeq and is a predicted model, not a curated record. The transcript has 2 exons. NCBI's taxonomy places the organism in Eukaryota, Metazoa, Chordata, Actinopteri, Perciformes, Percidae.